UUGUACACGAGCACGUACUAGUUCCAAGUCCAAAAGAUAGUAUACAUGUAUGCUUCAAGAUCGGAGCAGAUAUAAAAGUUCGGCGAGGGAGUGGAAUAGCAGUUUGAAUCAGACGCUAUUCAAACUGCUGCUUUUGGGCAGCAGGAAUCAGACGACAGUGGUGGCCCAGAUCACGGUUCUCUAGAAAAUCUUGCGACCGAGCUGUCGUAGCGAUGGGUGGGGAAGAUGAUGUAGACGAAAUAAAGAAAAAGAAUUGUAAUGUUUGGGCGAUCAUGAAUUGCCCAACGAGACACGCCACUGUGCCCUCAUCGUUAUCGUGCUACCACCAAUGAAGGCGCGGACGCACUGCGUGUAGCACCGUACUCGAAGAUCUGCUGCCGCCUUCACCGCACCAUCCCGGUUCCAUCGCACAGUUUCCACCUCCACGUGUCCGCACGAGGUCAGACGGACGUUCCAAGUUCCCGCUUUGGGUCCCAGAGAACAGUGGCUUAUCGAUGACUUUGUUGCGGAUCACGCUGUAUAGGUGGCGUCAGCCUUGUCGUCAUACCAGGACGCCAACGGUCAAUUUUGCCCUCCACCGUGCGACCUUCCGUCCUGACUUCCGCAAACGGUCCAUGUCACCAGUGUGAACCCAAACCUGAUCAAACUCAAAUGCUUCAAUUUGCAGAUUCGAGAAACAGCAGCACCACAAAUUUUACGGGACUCAACUAAGUUAUUUAACGAUCCGCUUGACGAUUUAAACAAAAUCAAAUUAAGUAUUAUAACAUAUAAUGAAUGGCUAAUUAAGUCACCAACUCGAACCUCUGAAUCAUAAGAAACAUAAAUGCAUAAUUAUUUAUCAAAAUAAUAAGAUUAUCUUUAACAGAUUCUUAUAUUUUUAAAAUUUAUAUUAAAAUCUAUAUACUUUUUUAAAAUAAAACAUUUAACUUUGAUCGUCUUUUACUAGUGAACACAUUCUAUCAUAUUUUAAUUUAACUCUAAACACUAUAAUAUUUUUACCAGUAAAAUCAACGAUAAAAAAAUAAAACUAAAUAUUUUUUAAUAUAAAAAUGUUAAUGUAUUUUUUUAAAUAUAAAAAACAUAAUACUAAUAAUAAUUAAUUAAGUAAUUCAGAUAAUAGACUACGGAGUUCCGCCGUGGGAACUCCGCUUCUUCUUUCACCUCCACGUGCUCCUCUGUCGGCACACAUCCAAAGACAGGUGACCUAACGUGGCGAAUUGGUCAUUCGACCGUGGAAGUUUAUUUGUCAUUUUACGCUACUCAGUCAACGACACGUGUCUCAAUAUCUUGUCGCCUUUUCGUCCUCCCUAUAUACCGUCAAAUUUUUGUAUGCCUAUUAAACUUAUACCCAAAACGAUACCGGCCUUGCAAAUGGUGAAAACUGUGGUCCUCGGUCACUUUGUCACGUCCCAGAACGUCGAACCCGCGGGCGUUUCGUUUGUCUUCGCUUCUUAAAUCAACUAAACCACGAAUCCAAACGAACCGAGAUAACUCGACCGUAGAAGGCCGCGAUGGUCAGGGAAGCGGAGGGGAAGGGAGGGUAUUGGGCGCGGUAGGCGGCGAGGCGGUGCAAUUCGUGCAAGGCGGCGGUGGCGCACUUGGACUGCCGGCCUGACGCGGCCUACCUGUGCAGUGGCUGCGACAUGAGGGUGCACGGGGCAGAGCAACUCGCCUCGCGGCACAAGCACGUGUGGAUUUGCGAGGCCUGCAAACAGGCGCCCGCCGCCGUAAUCUGCAAGGCGGACGCCGCGGCCCUCUGCGACGCCUGCGACGCCGACAUCCACUCCGCCAACCCCCUCGCGUGCCGCCACAAGCGAGCACCCAUCGCCGCCCCAAUCAAGCCCUCCACUGCCUCCGCCGCGUUCGCCUUUGGCGCAGGGGCUGGCGACGGCGUCGACGAGAAGGAGGAGAACGAUGCGGAGGAGGCUACCGCCGCCUCCUGGAUCCUCCCGAACUCCGGCCACGCUCAGUUCAAGGGCUUGAUUGAAGCGCCGCUGCUAAAAUCGAUGGAGUACUACUCGAGCGUGGGUUCUUACCUUGAUUUGGAGUACGCCCUUUCGAUGGAGACGCAAUUCCACCAGAUGAACAGCGUCGUCCCCGUCCGUGCCAAAACCGCCAUCGUGGACAGCGGAGCCCCGCCUAUCUCGUCGUUCCUCCCGCCCGAUGCCGGCGCCGAGCUCGAUUUCGUCCCAACAAAGCCCUGCCACACCAUCCACUCCAUGAGCCAAAGCGUAAACACUAAUGAAACCCUCAGAUCUAAAAACCAUUUCUCACUAAUCUACGAUGUAUUGCCUGAUUAUUCGCGACCGCCUCUGGAUCGGAGCAGAUGCCGCCGUCGGAGGUGGGAGUAGUACCUGACGAGAGCGGCGG
RNAcentral lists this long non-coding RNA (2370 nucleotides) under Musa acuminata (dwarf banana). RNAcentral describes it as "long non-coding RNA (MACU_LNC000732)". The record is from RNAcentral. Lineage: Eukaryota; Viridiplantae; Streptophyta; Magnoliopsida; Zingiberales; Musaceae.